GAUGAACGCUAGCUACAGGCUUAACACAUGCAAGUCGAGGGGAAACGGCAUUAAGUGCUUGCACUCUUUGGACGUCGACCGGCGCACGGGUGAGUAACGCGUAUCCAACCUUCCCAUGACUAAGGGAUAACCUGCCGAAAGGCAGACUAAUACCUUAUGGUCUUCACUGACGGCAUCAGAUGUGAAGUAAAGAUUUAUCGGUUAUGGAUGGGGAUGCGUCUGAUUAGCUUGUUGGCGGGGUAACGGCCCACCAAGGCAACGAUCAGUAGGGGUUCUGAGAGGAAGGUCCCCCACAUUGGAACUGAGACACGGUCCAAACUCCUACGGGAGGCAGCAGUGAGGAAUAUUGGUCAAUGGGCGAGAGCCUGAACCAGCCAAGUAGCGUGCAGGAUGACGGCCCUAUGGGUUGUAAACUGCUUUUGUAUGGGGAUAAAGUCAAUCACGUGUGAUUGUUUGCAGGUACCAUACGAAUAAGGACCGGCCAAUUCCGUGCCAGCAGCCGCGGUAAUACGGAAGGUCCGGGCGUUAUCCGGAUUUAUUGGGUUUAAAGGGAGCGUAGGCUGGAGAUUAAGUGUGUUGUGAAAUGUAGACGCUCAACGUCUGACUUGCAGCGCAUACUGGUUUCCUUGAGUACGCACAACGUUGGCGGAAUUCGUCGUGUAGCGGUGAAAUGCUUAGAUAUGACGAAGAACUCCGAUUGCGAAGGCAGCUGACGGGAGCGCAACUGACGCUGAAGCUCGAAGGUGCGGGUAUCGAACAGG
RNAcentral lists this ribosomal RNA (761 nucleotides) under Prevotella melaninogenica. RNAcentral describes it as "bacterial SSU rRNA". It matches the Rfam family "Bacterial small subunit ribosomal RNA", at positions 28 to 776 of the family's 1533-position model. The record is from RNAcentral. Lineage: Bacteria; Pseudomonadati; Bacteroidota; Bacteroidia; Bacteroidales; Prevotellaceae.